RNAcentral lists this unclassified non-coding RNA (335 nucleotides) under soil metagenome. Its description in RNAcentral is "partial contains 5.8S ribosomal RNA, internal transcribed spacer 2, and large subunit ribosomal RNA". The stretch from base 1 to 120 matches the Rfam family "5.8S ribosomal RNA", at positions 35 to 154 of the family's 154-position model. The record is from RNAcentral.
GAUGAAGAACGCAGCGAAAUGCGAUAAGUAAUGUGAAUUGCAGAAUUCAGUGAAUCAUCGAAUCUUUGAACGCACAUUGCGCCCGCCAGUAUUCUGGCGGGCAUGCCUGUUCGAGCGUCAUUUCAACCAUCAAGCCCCCGGCUUGUGUUGGGGACCUGCGGCUGCCGCAGGCCCUGAAAACCAGUGGCGGGCUCGCUAGUCACUCCGAGCGUAGUAAUACAUCUCGCUCAGGGCGUGCUGCGGGUUCCGGCCGUUAAAAAAGCCUUAUUUACCCAAGGUUGACCUCGGAUCAGGUAGGAAGACCCGCUGAACUUAAGCAUAUCAAUAAGGGAGGA